This 482-nucleotide ribosomal RNA is filed under the name uncultured bacterium. RNAcentral's name for it is "bacterial SSU rRNA". It matches the Rfam family "Bacterial small subunit ribosomal RNA", at positions 899 to 1397 of the family's 1533-position model. The record is from RNAcentral.
ACUCAAAGGAAUAGACGGGGGCCCGCACAAGCAGCGGAGCGUGUGGUUUAAUUCGACGCAACGCGCAGAACCUUACCCAGACUUGACAUCUAGUCGAAAAGGCUGGAAACAGUCUCCUCCGCAAGGACGGCUAGACAGAUGCUGCAUGGCUGUCGUCAGCUCGUGUCGUGAGAUGUUGGGUUAAGUCCCGCAACGAGCGCAACCCUCGCUGCCAGUUGGAUUCUCUGGCGGGACUGCCGGGACAAACCCGGAGGAAGGUGGGGAUGAUGUCAAGUCAGCACGGCUCUUACGUCUGGGGCUACACACACGCUACAAUGGCCGGUACAGAGGGCAGCUAAGCCGCGAGGCGGAGCAAAUCCCAAAAAGCCGGUCUCAGUUCGGAUUGCAGGCUGCAACUCGCCUGCAUGAAGUCGGAGUUGCUAGUAACCGCAGGUCAGCACACUGCGGUGAAUACGUUCCCGGGCCUUGUACACACCGCCCGU